CGCGACCCCAGGUCAGGCGGGGCUACCCGCUGAGUUUAAGCAUAUCAAUAAGCGGAGGAAAAGAAACUAGCGAGGAUCCCCCAGUACGCGAGCGACGGAAUC
RNAcentral lists this ribosomal RNA (102 nucleotides) under Acacia pyrifolia. Its description in RNAcentral is "partial large subunit ribosomal RNA". It matches the Rfam family "Eukaryotic large subunit ribosomal RNA", at positions 1 to 99 of the family's 3401-position model. Lineage: Eukaryota; Viridiplantae; Streptophyta; Magnoliopsida; Fabales; Fabaceae. The record is from RNAcentral.